UGACUUUGGGUACGACCACGUUGAGGACGGACGACUUAACAACAGACAAUAUCCCCGACAUUCUAUCAUCAGACAUGACGUGUACCAGGAGAAAGAAGUACAUGUAGUUUUUGUUAUCAUGGUUGAGGAGGAAACAGAAGAGACAACGACAACGUGCUUAAAAAAAUAUGGCAUUCACUUCACCCAAUAUUGAGACAGCGUGAGACUCUCGGUGAUUUUCGACAUUUAAUCUAGAUCUGUUCCCGCAAUUGUUGGAAGACCAUGACAAAUUCUUCAGCUACUUUCGAAUGAAACCCAGUUUUUUAAAUGAACUUUUGAAGAAAUGUAGGGAUGACCUGACGUUUCGGAUUGCAAGAAUGAGUCUUUCUUCAUUCAUGUCUGCGGUAUAUACAUAGUAAACAAAGCAAAACAAGGCAUUACGAUUCUUUACCUUUUCGUGAUAUUGCAUCAUAGCUAUUCAUAUACAACUGAUAGGGAAAAGAGAAGUAAUUCUGAAGGGGACUAGCUGAUGAAAUUGUUUCCCUUGAAACAGACGGGAAAAAAUUGAAACAUGUUCUCUGGGAAUCGUGUCGUCAGUGAAGAGGAUAAUCGUGUCGGUGUCAACGGGGACAGAGUGCAAAGAGAUGAUGACUACCAGAAAGAAGUGGAAACUGAACAAGCAUGUGGUGAGCAGAAACAGAACAGCACCACCAAACAGCCCUGCGUCAGACUCCUGCCUGUUCACACAAGAUAAAGAGAGGGUGACACAAAAACACCCCCAUGGAAAGAAAGCUUACGACUGAUGACACAUCUGACUGCUCUCCCACUAGCUUACCCAGAGUUGGAGGAAGCAAGAAGAGACAGUCUUCAUCUCUGCCCAAUAUAUGCAAAACAGCAUAGAAAGCAAAGGCCCUAAACUGGGGCGACGGAGCAUCAGUCUUCCAUCCUCGUCACGGACUCGAUGAGUGCACUGGAAAAAGUGGAGAAGCACAUGGUGUAAGCUGACUGGCAAGAGGCAAUACGAAAAGAAUGCUUGUGUACCCUCAUCGCUUGAAGGUCACGUCAAGCGAAGCCAUAGAAGGGUCGUUGUCCUUUUCUGAGAGUCGGCCUGUGAGACAAGAAAGCUUGCCCAUCACUCACCAGUAGAGAGAUCAGAGCCAGCACAGAGAUGUAUUGUGUUAUUGUUAAGGGAUGUCACAUACACAUGUAUCUCUGAAAUAUUCGUAUUUGUUGUCUAAUAAAUAACACAGACGUAAUCUGACGGCAUCAACAA
Aplysia californica (California sea hare) is the source of this 1252-nucleotide long non-coding RNA. RefSeq lists it as uncharacterized. The record is from RefSeq and is a predicted model, not a curated record. The transcript is spliced from 4 exons. NCBI's taxonomy places the organism in Eukaryota, Metazoa, Mollusca, Gastropoda, Aplysiida, Aplysiidae.